AUUGAACGCUGGCGGCAGGCCUAGCACAUGCAAGUCGAGCGGAUGAAGGGAGCUUGCUCCUGGAUUCAGCGGCGGACGGGUGAGUAAUGCCUAGGAAUCUGCCUGGUAGUGGGGGAUAACGUCCGGAAACGGGCGCUAAUACCGCAUACGUCCUGAGGGAGAAAGUGGGGGAUCUUCGGACCUCACGCUAUCAGAUGAGCCUAGGUCGGAUUAGCUAGUUGGUGGGGUAAAGGCCUACCAAGGCGGCGAUCCGUAACUGGUCUGAGAGGAUGAUCAGUCACACUGGAACUGAGACACGGUCCAGACUCCUACGGGAGGCAGCAGUGGGGAAUAUUGGACAAUGGGCGAAAGCCUGAUCCAGCCAUGCCGCGUGUGUGAAGAAGGUCUUCGGAUUGUAAAGCACUUUAAGUUGGGAGGAAGGGCAGUAAGUUAAUACCUUGCUGUUUUGACGUUACCAACAGAAUAAGCACCGGCUAACUUCGUG
This 484-nucleotide ribosomal RNA is filed under the name uncultured bacterium. RNAcentral's name for it is "partial 16S ribosomal RNA". It matches the Rfam family "Bacterial small subunit ribosomal RNA", at positions 30 to 507 of the family's 1533-position model. The record is from RNAcentral.